This 1098-nucleotide long non-coding RNA is filed under the name Gallus gallus (chicken). RNAcentral describes it as "lncRNA (ENSGALG00010025547.1)". Lineage: Eukaryota; Metazoa; Chordata; Aves; Galliformes; Phasianidae. The record is from RNAcentral.
CGCUGUCCCUGUGUCACAGCAGGGCAGCCUGGCUCCACCGCUGCUCCUUCAGUGCCGUAAGGAAGGAGAGCAGUCCUGUUCCGUGGCUGAAGCGCUGGCUUGGCAGCCUUUAUCUCUCUAGGCCGAGAGUGGGGAUUUGUGAGCCUGAAAUUCGAAGUGAAACGGGUAGAUAUCCCCGUAGGGUUGGGGCUGCCGAGUUUCAUAUGGUGCUAGUAAAAAAAAAAAAAGUGUCUCUGGAAUAAAAAUCUGUCUGUGUCUCGAGGCAGCUGUGGGCACCUCCAGCCAGCACCUGAUUCACUCACGAACAGUUACCUGCGAGGCAUCUCAGCUGGCAGACACUUGUCCGAGGCGCCGGAGGCCGCAUGGGCUGUUUUCAGUUUAAUCUAUUUUUAAUGUGGCGCCUUAUUCCAAACUGCUGAGUUCUCACAUUUCCAAGCCGUCAUGGUAAUGGGAUUGUGCAGCCUUAUUGGCUAGAGUUUUCCACCCCCGGUGCCAAAAGUUAGGCUCCUAAAUCCAUAUUUAAAUGCCUAAAUGAGGCUGACGAAUCCUGCAGGAGUCGGUAGGAACUGGACGUGGUCUGCACCUUGGAAAAUAACCAGGCCGUUGGGUGUGUGAGCAGAGCCGUGCUGUAGGCACCCGGAUGGUCAGGUGUGGGCCACUGCAUGGGCUGUUUGAGCCCAACUGUGAGCACUGCAUCCCCAGUGCCUGAACGGUUCCAAUACGGGGCAUGCUGCUCAGCCCUGCUGGGCCUGCUAUGAGAUGAAACUUCACAGCCUGCUGGUGUGUGAAGUGCUCUGAAGGGGCACUGGAGUCAUGUUUUUAUCCAGGAUGGCUGUGUGUCAGUGUGAGGGAGGGAGGUGAGAUCGGUGCAAGCAGGAGAAAUGGGAUACACAGAGGAUCGUAGCAAGUGCCCAUCCUUUGCAUUGGCUUUGUGUCUGCACUGCUUCCGUACCCGUGAUCUAACACUGCAUAUUUUUACUUUGCCACCUUCUUCUGCUAUUUCUAUUUGUAGCACCCUGCUAGACUUGUUUCCAAGCCAAUCCAAAAUUCUUCUGAAACUCCCUAUGCUAACAGCAGCAUGAAAGCAGAACUCGGCAG